UUCUCUCGCAUAUCAGCA
Molecule: small nuclear RNA, 18 nt
Filed under: Arabidopsis thaliana (thale cress)
Lineage: Eukaryota; Viridiplantae; Streptophyta; Magnoliopsida; Brassicales; Brassicaceae
Description: snRNA_08036
Source: RNAcentral